RNAcentral lists this long non-coding RNA (950 nucleotides) under Gossypium raimondii (Peruvian cotton). RNAcentral describes it as "long non-coding RNA (GRAI_LNC008658)". The record is from RNAcentral. Lineage: Eukaryota; Viridiplantae; Streptophyta; Magnoliopsida; Malvales; Malvaceae.
CUACUUUGUAAAAUUUAUAUUUUGACCCCAAAAUUUUCUUUAAAUUACACUUUGACCCCUAAUAUUUCGUAAAUUACAGUCAGGCCCCUAAACUUUCCAGAAAUUACAUUUUUGCCCUAUAUUUUCCUAGAAUCGCAUUUUUGCCCCAGAAAUUUUGCACCCAUUACGAUUUAGUCCUUCUGGGCAUGACAAGACUGCCCCCAACCAGCAUUCUUGCGUGCCCCGCUCGCCACGCCUGCCACCCCAAUGCAUGGCCUCCCUCCUCCUCUGCCACCUGAAAAGAAAGAGAAAGAAACAAAAAUUGAUGGAUUUAAAAAGAGGAAUAUGAGAGAAAGAGGGGGAUUUUCGGAUAGGAACCCCCCCCAAAAAAAAAAAAAGAAGCAGAGAAAACUCAAAAAAAAAAAUAAAAACAGCAGUAAGUAAAAAGCCAUCACCACCGCCGCACCACCACCGUCACCGUCACCACCUGAAAAGCCGCAAUCAAUCAAAAAGGAAAGCAAAGCAAAAAAAGUAGCAGCAAAAAAAAAAAAAACGAAAGAACAACUUCAAAAAUCCGGCCGCUCCUUCGCCACCACCGUGCUCACCGCCGCGCCCUUGCAUUCCCACCCCCGUCGCACCUACACAAGCAAGCAAAAAAAGAAAACAAAAAAACAGCAAGUAAAACGAGAAAGAAAACAGCAGCCCAAACAGUAAAGAAGAAAGAAAAGAAGAAAAGAAAGAUAGGAAAAGGAAAAAGAAAUAAAAAAAACAGCAGCCCAUUUUUGGCAGUCCAGCAGCAGUCCAGCAGCAGUCCACCAGCAGCAGCCCACCAGCAGUGGCCCACCCUUGCAGCUCCAAUCCAGCAGCAGGCCCAGCGCAGCAGUUCAGCAGAUUCGGCCCAUUUCAACAGCUCCAGUCCAGCAGGUUCAGCCCAACAGCAGCAGGCCACUGCCCAACAGGCCACUGCCCAG